GUUUAUCACUGCUCAAUGCCUCUAAUGCAGCCCUCUUAUCCGCAGCAGUCAUUGCAUUCAACGCCGCCUUGUAUGGACAGUCCCUCGCUCGAUGUGGUCCAUCACAAAUGAAACAACCACUGAAUUUGCUGCCCUUCUCCUUGCUCUUUGAAGUUCCAGCCUCCUGCUUUUCCUUCCCUCGAUCUUCAUGUGCAUUGCCAUUUUCACAUUUCUUCCACUCCUUUGCCUUGUCCUUCUUUCCGUCGUUGGACUUUGAAGCAGAAUUAUCCUCAUUAAUAUGAAAAUCGCCCAAUGCA
RNAcentral lists this long non-coding RNA (296 nucleotides) under Nicotiana benthamiana. RNAcentral describes it as "long non-coding RNA (NBEN_LNC027431)". The record is from RNAcentral. Lineage: Eukaryota; Viridiplantae; Streptophyta; Magnoliopsida; Solanales; Solanaceae.